RNAcentral lists this ribosomal RNA (253 nucleotides) under uncultured bacterium. RNAcentral's name for it is "partial 16S ribosomal RNA". It matches the Rfam family "Bacterial small subunit ribosomal RNA", at positions 524 to 776 of the family's 1533-position model. The record is from RNAcentral.
UACGUAGGGGGCGAGCGUUGUUCGGAAUUACUGGGCGUAAAGGGCGUGUAGGCGGUGCGGUAAGUCGGACGUGAAAUCCCCGGGCUCAACCCGGGGCGGUCGUUCGAAACUGUCGCGCUAGAGGGUGGGAGAGGGAAGUGGAAUUCCCGGUGUAGCGGUGAAAUGCGUAGAUAUCGGGAAGAACACCGGUGGCGAAGGCGGCUUCCUGGCCCACAACUGACGCUGAGGCGCGAAAGCUAGGGGAGCAAACAGG